AGGUAGUGACAAUAAAUAGUGAAGUGGGGCGCUUUAGCGCCACACUAUCGCAAUGAACGGGGCCUAAAUACCCCUAUGAGGAACAAUUGGAGGGCAAGUCUGGUGCCAGCAGCCGCGGUAAUUCCAGCUCCAAUAGCGUAUAUUAAAGUUGUUGCAGUUAAAAAGCUCGUAGUUGAACCUUGGGCCUGUCCUGCCGGUCCGCCUCACCGCGAGUACUGGUCCGGAUGGGCCUUUCUUUCUGGGGAAUCCCAUGGCCUUCACUGGCUGUGGCGGGGAACCAGGACUUUUACUGUGAAAAAAUUAGAGUGUUCAAAGCAGGCCUUUGCUCGGAUACAUUAGCAUGGAAUAAUAAAAUAGGACGUGCGGUUCUAUUUUGUUGGUUUCUAGGACCGCCGUAAUGAUUAAUAGGGAUAGUCGGGGGCGUCAGUAUUCAGCUGUCAGAGGUGAAAUUCUUGGAUUUGCUGAAGACUAACUACUGCGAAAGCAUUCGCCAAGGAUGUUUUCAUUAAUCAGGGAACGAAAGUUAGGGGAUCGAAGACGAUCAGAUACCGUCGUAGUCUUAACCAUAAACUAUGCCGACUAGGGAUCGGGCGGGGUUUCUAUGAUGACCCGCUCGGCACCUUACGAGAAAUCAAAGUUUUUGGGUUCUGG
Molecule: ribosomal RNA, 651 nt
Filed under: Talaromyces rugulosus
Lineage: Eukaryota; Fungi; Ascomycota; Eurotiomycetes; Eurotiales; Trichocomaceae
Description: SSU rRNA
Rfam family: Eukaryotic small subunit ribosomal RNA
Source: RNAcentral